UACGUAGGGUGCGAGCGUUGCCCGGAUUUAUUGGGCGUAAAGGGCGCGUAGGCGGUCAGCACAAGUCAGUUGUGAAAUCUCCGGGCUUAACUCGGAAAGGUCAACUGAUACUGUGCGACUAGAGUGCGGAAGGGGCAACUGGAAUUCUCGGUGUAGCGGUGAAAUGCGUAGAUAUCGAGAGGAACACCUGCGGCGAAGGCGGGUUGCUGGGCCGACACUGACGCUGAUGCGCGAAAGCCAGGGGAGCGAACAGG
RNAcentral lists this ribosomal RNA (254 nucleotides) under uncultured bacterium. RNAcentral's name for it is "partial 16S ribosomal RNA". It matches the Rfam family "Bacterial small subunit ribosomal RNA", at positions 524 to 776 of the family's 1533-position model. The record is from RNAcentral.